AACGCACAUUGCGCCCGCCAGCACUCUGGCGGGCAUGCCUGUCCGAGCGUCAUUUCCACCCUCGGGCCCCCCGGGGGGCCCGGUGCUGGGGGCACGGCCCAGGCCGCCCCCGAAAUGCAGUGGCGACCCCGCCGCGUCCUCCCCUGCGCAGUAGCACAAUCUCGCACCGGAAGCGCGGAGGCGGUCACGCCCGUAAAACGCCCCAACGCAACGCAGUUGACCUCGGAUCAGGUAGGAGUACCCGCUGAACUUAA
RNAcentral lists this unclassified non-coding RNA (254 nucleotides) under uncultured fungus. RNAcentral's name for it is "partial contains 5.8S ribosomal RNA, internal transcribed spacer 2, and large subunit ribosomal RNA". Lineage: Eukaryota; Fungi. The record is from RNAcentral.